GCCCCAUUAGCAUAUUGGCAGAUGCACCGCUCUUGUAAAGCGGAUACAGGAGUUCGAUUCUCCUAUGGGGCUC
Molecule: transfer RNA, 73 nt
Filed under: Gordonia phage GMA2
Lineage: Duplodnaviria; Heunggongvirae; Uroviricota; Caudoviricetes
Description: tRNA-Thr
Rfam family: tRNA
About the family: Transfer RNA (tRNA) molecules are approximately 80 nucleotides in length. Their secondary structure includes four short double-helical elements and three loops (D, anti-codon, and T loops).
Source: RNAcentral